Molecule: long non-coding RNA, 1235 nt
Filed under: Oreochromis niloticus (Nile tilapia)
Lineage: Eukaryota; Metazoa; Chordata; Actinopteri; Cichliformes; Cichlidae
Description: lncRNA (ENSONIG00000042456.1)
Source: RNAcentral
CAGUUAAAGUCAUUACCGAAAGCCCCGAUCUCCCACAAGACCCCGCCGUUUAUGUUAGCGGCAAAUGUAGUAAUAUUAAAAAGCUGCACCGCAUGGUUUGCCACGCUGCCUCGUGCCUUAAAAGGUAUGUAGCACGUAAGCCGCGCUGCCGGUACGGGUCAAGCGGCUCUGAUUCCGGUACAGAAAGUACGGAUUCAAAGAUGUCGGUGCAAUCAGUAAUCACAGAGAUUUCUGUGAUUCUGUCAUCAAGGAGCUCAGAUGGAGAGAUGACAGAUAAAGAUAAAGAUGAGGAGGAAACUCUAACAGAAAAGGACGAAAUCAAACCAGCUGCAGGAAGCCAAAGUAUCCGAGCUCCAACCCCAGUAGAAGUGGUUGCAGCUGACAUCGUAAAUGAGAUACUUGGCAACAUGGAUUUAAGCAGUGAAGAGCACUGUGAGAGGUGUCGCUUACCCAAACCUGCCUUUAAUGCAGGAUUAAUUAUCAACAAGCUGAGAGACUUCUUCUCCAGAUGUUUGCCAUCCACCUCUCACUCCGGGCUCAAAGCACGCAAACACCGCUUUUCCAUGUUUGCAAAAAAACUAUUUGAAAAAAUGAAAAAAGAGUUGAGAAAAGUAAUAAAGGCAAACAGGAAUUUUUUUGUUUGUCUAAAAAACAUUUGCAAGUACCCCAAAAGUGACACAGUGCCCUCAGAUGAAAGUAAGGUUUCCAGCCUCUCAGGGUCAGUCCCAGAAACUCUUCGUCCCCAGAGUACAGAGGCUCAUCGAGCCCCUUCCCGAAACACACUGCUUCGUUACAUACGUUCCUCUCCAGUCGACUUUGACGCCAUUGGAUCAGACGUUAAUCAGUUAUAUGAGAAAUUAACAAAGAAAGAAAAACUCGUCAUCGUCCACAAAACAGUGGAAAACUUUAGAACUAGUGGGGGAACCAGAGAUUUUACUGUGGAGUUGACGGCAAAAAUGUUUGAUCUACUCAUGACGGAUCGACUGUAUCAAAUCCCCGAACCUGUAAUGGGUAGAUCCCUGUCUGACACCGUCAUCUCCAGGACUCCACGACAAACACAUGGCUCAAAGCGUCCCUUUUCUGCUGAAGUCCUCUAUGUGCUCGUAGAAGACGCAGUAGAAAAGUUUGUAAAAAAACUUUUAAUCUGGGUGGAGAACGAAGACCAAGAUCAAAUGAUUGAGGACAAGGUUUCUGUGGCUGUGGAAGACAUCCAGAACUUUAUGAAAAGAACAAGG